AAGAGGAUUGUGAUAACUGGCAGACCACAGAGAUUGAUCACGAUAAGGCUCUGGCCCAGGCCAUCAAGGAGGCGAAGGAGCAGCAACCCGACAUGUCUUGACCAAAGUGGUGGUGCACCAG
Molecule: long non-coding RNA, 121 nt
Organism: Salvelinus sp. IW2-2015
Lineage: Eukaryota; Metazoa; Chordata; Actinopteri; Salmoniformes; Salmonidae
Source: RefSeq, a predicted model, not a curated record